Ornithorhynchus anatinus (platypus) is the source of this 901-nucleotide long non-coding RNA. RefSeq lists it as uncharacterized. The record is from RefSeq and is a predicted model, not a curated record. Lineage: Eukaryota; Metazoa; Chordata; Mammalia; Monotremata; Ornithorhynchidae. The transcript is spliced from 6 exons.
UUUGAAUGCCUCGUGCUCCAGUCUGACUUCUUUGGCAACAGCUCCUGGCCAGUGUCAUAUCUUGUUUUUUUGGAUCUUCCUGCUGGUAUCGUGCCUGGCUGCUCUGCAACAUUUCCUACCGCUCCAGGGGUUACCUUGAUUGCACGAUAUACUCGUCCAGUUUCAGCUUGCGAUCACAUCGUAAUUACAGUAAUGAGAAUUUACGGGGCUACUAUUACGACGGCAAUCCAGUGAAGUCAGUUACAGCAACCAAUUUUCCUGAUGUGGGUACUCAAGUCUGUAAAACGGGUGACGCGGUCUGAACUGAGGAGGCUAGUGGCGUGGUGUCCGAGAAAGCUGAACUGGAAGACACAGCGCGAAGGAUAUUAGUUCUGCAAUUACCAGCGCUGGUAGGAGAUCUGUGCUCCCGUGAAAUCAGAAAAAUUGAAUUCCAAUGAACUGCAAGCUUUUCGGAAAGAAGGAGAAUGAGGCAAUGAAAAGUGAUUCAGAGAGCACAACAGAAAAUCAGUUUUUAAUCAAGAAAAAACAAUCUACGGAAACAGAGAUGUGUUCAACUACCUAAAAGAAAUUUCAGCAACCAUUCAUCCAUGAUUCGCCAAUUUGCAGAUCCCCCAACUUGUAGUCGGAACUCAAAACACUUUCUAAACGCUGACAUCCUCAAGCACCUCUGGGAGAAAGUGAAGGGGCGCCAGGUUCGUCAUUCCCCUUUGGUGGAUACUGAUAGACAAAUGAGGCCAGAUUGGCUGUAGGAUGUAAGGGGCGAUUCGUCUUCCGAUCACAUCCGGAAUUGGAAGCCCUGGCGGAGCCAAUCAGAUUCCGUUCGUCUCCGCUUGCUGGUGUCACACUCCCAAGGCCGAGAGUGGCCUGAAAAACUCUGUGGAACCCUCUUAACUCUUUCAGG